Small nucleolar RNA from Zingiber officinale, 93 nucleotides. RefSeq annotates it as small nucleolar RNA Z161/Z228. The transcript has a single exon. The record is from RefSeq and is a predicted model, not a curated record. Lineage: Eukaryota; Viridiplantae; Streptophyta; Magnoliopsida; Zingiberales; Zingiberaceae.
AAGCUUGAUGAUGAGAAUGGAUAUUUACAUCUCACGACGGUCAUCUGAGACGCUUCUGUGUCAAUGUCGAUGCAUAUCCAAACUCUGAUGGCU